Branchiostoma floridae (Florida lancelet) is the source of this 1080-nucleotide long non-coding RNA. RefSeq lists it as uncharacterized. The record is from RefSeq and is a predicted model, not a curated record. The transcript is spliced from 3 exons. NCBI's taxonomy places the organism in Eukaryota, Metazoa, Chordata, Leptocardii, Amphioxiformes, Branchiostomatidae.
UAACACCAUAGACUGCAGUCUAAUACUAUAAUAGAAAAAUGUUCGCGGUGGUUUUAAGUUCGCGGUGAAGUGGUAACCGCGAAAACCGCGAACAUUUCUGCAUUUACAGUAUGUGUCACGAGAUAACAUCGUGAUAGUCAGGACCAGGUCUCCCCUGUGAUGAUAACCAUAUGGACAGGGGUCGGGUCACACAGCCACGCCACGGUGGCAGUCAGGAGAGGACACGACGUGGGAGAGGACAGAGUAAAGUAGAGUAGAGUACUAGAGAGGGCUGAUAAACAGAAUGAAGUUGAAUUUAUCAACUAUAUGGCUGUCACCUGUAUUUGAACGUGCACGUGACAUUCUGGUAGUGCAGCUGGGGUGGAGAUGAGGCAAGUUCAACCAAGAUAGAGAUGGGAACUGGGAGAUCGAGAGAACUGAGGACGUGGCAAGGCUACUGCAGUACUGGGCCUGUGAAGUGUGAUGGGUGACGCGCGGGGCAGAGAGGCAGAAAGAACACAUAUAAAGAUGCCUGCCGAUCCCUGACUCUGAAGAGAACGCCAGCCCGGAGUAAAUCUUCCAUGACCACUGUAUUGACACUCGGGGAGCGAGGCAAGAUGCGGCGGGUACGGGCGAUGCAGGGCUUAGUGGGAAAGACAUCUCAAACUACUCGUCAGAAGGAAAGUUACAGGGCUGCAGGGAUACGUACUUGACGAUUACGUCAGACGUUGGCGAUUCCAGUAGGUCAAUCAUCGAAGCAGCUGCGGGUCAACGUCUUUCGGUAUGUCGUCAAGGCCAACCAAGCGGACAAGAGCGAAGACGACGAGGUGUUCCUGACAGACGUAUGUCAUGUCCAUCAGGACGACACAUUCCCGCCACACCCAACAUAGAGGCUCUUACCGCCACAAGGGAAGUAGGUCGAGUCCUUUCACGAGAAGUGGCCAUCGCUGAGAGGAGCCAGAAUAAGCGUUCGUGCGGCUUGAAAAUUUUGAACAGAGGGGGGCACAUAACAUCCAGAACAGCGCCAUCGACAGAAGGAAGGCAACAUGAGGGAAGUAGAGGCCAGUAGCAGAGCCAAGACGUGUAGCCGAUAGAUUUCGA